Molecule: long non-coding RNA, 594 nt
Filed under: Equus caballus (horse)
Lineage: Eukaryota; Metazoa; Chordata; Mammalia; Perissodactyla; Equidae
Description: lncRNA (ENSECAG00000041492.2)
Source: RNAcentral
CCAGGAUGCAAGGAACUAUGGCCGUGUUAUAAUCCACCCACUGAGGAAGCUCUUAGCAAGUCAGGGGAGGAGACCACUGCGUGCUGUGUGUGGAGAGAGAGGUUCAAGAUACGGAACCUGAGGCCCAGAGAGGAGAAGAGACCUGCCCAAGGAUACACAGCGGACUAGAGGCAGAGAUGUUCCACCAGUGGGGAGAACCACAGAGAGACUGAAGGGAGAGAGCAGAGUGUGGCCAAGGGAAAUGCGAUCUCAGAACCGCGUUGCCUUCCUUUAAUCAGGACCUAAUUCCCUAUCACAGAGCUCAGAGAUGGAGGUUUGCAAGAAGACAAGGGAGGCGCUGGUGGAGGUGAUGAGAGAGGAUCCCCAUGGCCAGAGAAGGGCCCUUUGGGGAGAAUCAGUGAAGGAGGCCAAGCCAGGCCAACCCAGGGGGGAGCUGCUGCAGUCGUCACAUCUCGGGAGAGCCGAUGGGGCCUGGAGGAGAGGCGACAGAUCCCAUCAGGAGGCAGCAGAUGGAGCAGUGAGACUUGGUGACCGCGGCUGUGUGGAAGGGACUGAGUGAGAAAUGUGUAUGAAGUCGCCCCAGCCAAGAGGCAG